Non-coding RNA from Salvelinus sp. IW2-2015, 157 nucleotides. The record is from RefSeq and is a predicted model, not a curated record. Lineage: Eukaryota; Metazoa; Chordata; Actinopteri; Salmoniformes; Salmonidae.
GCAGCUGUGGGCAAAAGCACAACAGACACUUCUAUAAAUGACCUCAACGCUGAAUGCUCUUGGUAACGUUAUUCGUUUGAGUGUCGCUCCUCUUUUUAAAGAGGUUGAUGCUGUCUUCAAUGACACACAAUCAUAACCUGACGCCUGGCUUGCUACU